UCGAGCGAACCCUUCGGGGUGAGCGGCGGACGGGUGAGUAACGCGUGGGUAACCUGCCCUGUACACACGGAUAACAUACCGAAAGGUAUGCUAAUACGGGAUAACAUAUGAGAGUCGCAUGGCUUUUGUAUCAAAGCUCCGGCGGUACAGGAUGGACCCGCGUCUGAUUAGCUAGUUGGUAAGGUAACGGCUUACCAAGGCAACGAUCAGUAGCCGACCUGAGAGGGUGAUCGGCCACAUUGGAACUGAGACACGGUCCAAACUCCUACGGGAGGCAGCAGUGGGGAAUAUUGCACAAUGGGCGAAAGCCUGAUGCAGCAACGCCGCGUGAGCGAUGAAGGCCUUCGGGUCGUAAAGCUCUGUCCUCAAGGAAGAUAAUGACGGUACUUGAGGAGGAAGCCCCGGCUAACUACGUGCCAGCAGCCGCGGUAAUACGUAGGGGGCUAGCGUUAUCCGGAAUUACUGGGCGUAAAGGGUGCGUAGGCGGUCUUUCAAGCCAGAAGUGAAAGGCUACGGCUCAACCGUAGUAAGCUUUUGGAACUGUAGGACUUGAGUGCAGGAGAGGAGAGUGGAAUUCCUAGUGUAGCGGUGAAAUGCGUAGAUAUUAGGAGGAACACCAGUAGCGAAGGCGGCUCUCUGGACUGUAACUGACGCUGAGGCACGAAAGCGUGGGGAGCAAACAGGAUUAGAUACCCUGGUAGUCCACGCCGUAAACGAUGAG
RNAcentral lists this ribosomal RNA (721 nucleotides) under uncultured bacterium. RNAcentral's name for it is "bacterial SSU rRNA". It matches the Rfam family "Bacterial small subunit ribosomal RNA", at positions 62 to 813 of the family's 1533-position model. The record is from RNAcentral.